This 61-nucleotide transfer RNA is filed under the name Ochthebius sp. IBE<ESP> AV177. RNAcentral's name for it is "tRNA-Cys". The record is from RNAcentral. Lineage: Eukaryota; Metazoa; Arthropoda; Insecta; Coleoptera; Hydraenidae.
AGCCUUGUAUUCAAUAAUGAUUUUAAAUUGCAAAUUUAAAGGAAGAGUAAUCUUAAGGCUU